AGGAUGAGCAGUGGGAUGGACACUUGUCUGCUAAAGGCACUUCGUAAAUGAGAAAUAUGCACGAACAUUACGUCCGGGAAAGCGCUCGACUGUAGAGACAGAGGCGCUACGACCAGGAUGGCGAAGAUGACAUCACAAGACCGAGAGAGGACGUCAUCGAGAUGCAACACAAGCGCUCAGCACGCAACAGAGGAUACACCCCGACUCGUUUGUCUUUAUUUGCUUCAGAGGAGACGUGGCGCUGUGAAUACAACGGGUUAGAGAUGGUGAAAGAGAAACAUCCCACAUUCUUCUUCCUUGAGAAAGCAUAAUUUAAAUCUCCUUGGUUGUGGGAACCUGGCACACUGCUGAUGUAAUCUCCGAUAUCGUUCUUCAACUGUCAUCGGUUGUGUAAACUUGACACUCAUCACCGACACUUCUCUUCACUGCAGGCUUUGAAAAAGAUGUGUUUGAGGCUUUGUAAUAAUUCCACUUGAAGUCAGUGUCGCGUUCAAGUUUCAGUGUACAAAGAAGUCGACACGGAUGAUCAGAGUCAGCGGCUUCACGGCUCCUCCGCCCAGUUGAUUGGAGGAAUGAGCGAGUGAGUGAAUGUGGCGAGGAAUUGGAUGUACUGAGCACGCAAGAGAGUUAAGGCGGUGAGACAUUGGACAUACUGAUCUUGACUGUGUCUGGAGCUCUCGUCUAAUGUCGAGAGUACAAAAUAAAAUCGGUGGAUUUCCCGGCCUCGAGAGCCAAUAACCUCACAGUGAUUGGUUCAUUCAGCUCCGCAUACAAUAAGUGUCCUUCAUAUUACACUUGCGGGUCGCACUAAAAUUAAUCUUUCAUAUUAAGACAGGGGCCACAAACUAUUGUCCCAGGGGCCGUAGUUGGCCUGCGGGCCACGAGUCAGACCCCUGUUUUAGAUGCACAGAAAACUUUAGUCUUAAGGGAAUAAAGUUAAAGUAGAAUGAGCGAUUAAUCUGUCCGUCAGACUGCAGAAAACAGAAGUAUCAGACACUUUCACAUAUUUAUGAAACUUACAUAAAGGUUUGGGUUGUCAGCAUUUUAGCAUUCAAAAAGAUGAACAGAUGGAUGCAGCUAUUUUAGAAAUUCAAGAGACUUGAUUCUGUACAAGAGUACUGUAUAUCAUGAACGUUCAUCAUAAAGAACUCUCUAUUGGGCAGGAACAGAGCCUGAGUGAUACAUUUUUCCUCCUAGAAUACUGGUGCCUCAAAUAAUUGCAAAUUUCAACAGGACCAGAAGAUAUUUGUUUAAGUGUUCCACUGGUAUAAAUGUGUUCCUAUGCUAGGAUAGAGUAUGAGGCAACAAUGACAUAGUACGUACCAUAACUAAUAAAAUGAUUGUUUUAGAAAAGUAAAACACACAAUCAGAUGUUAAGAAGAAGAAAAUUUGACAUCCCUUCCAUUCAGGCCACAAAUUUAUGUAGCAAUUAAGUACUUGAAUGAC
Molecule: long non-coding RNA, 1446 nt
Organism: Syngnathoides biaculeatus (alligator pipefish)
Lineage: Eukaryota; Metazoa; Chordata; Actinopteri; Syngnathiformes; Syngnathidae
Exons: 3
Source: RefSeq, a predicted model, not a curated record